GGGUCAGUAGGUUGGUCGUGCCACCGGUACGUACUGGUCUCACUGAUUCCUCCUUCCUGAAGAACCGUAAUGCCAUUAAUUUGGUGUUGCGGGGAAACAGGACUGUUACUUUGAAAAAAUUAGAGUGUUUAAAGCAAGCUAACGCUUGAAUACAUUAGCAUGGAAUAAUGAAAUAGGACGAUCGAUCCUAUUUUGUUGGUUUCUAGGAUUGACGUAAUGAUUAUGGGAUAGUUGGG
Molecule: ribosomal RNA, 236 nt
Filed under: Glomeromycotina sp.
Lineage: Eukaryota; Fungi; Glomeromycota
Description: partial small subunit ribosomal RNA
Rfam family: Eukaryotic small subunit ribosomal RNA (bases 40-236)
Source: RNAcentral